GAUGAAGAACGUAGCGAAAUGCGAUACUUGGUGUGAAUUGCAGAAUCCCGUGAACCAUCGAGUCUUUGAACGCAAGUUGCGCCCGAAGCCAUCAGGUUGAGGGCACGUCUGCCUGGGGGUCACAUAUCGUUGCCCAAUGCCUAUUGCAGUGCAAUAGGAAUUUCUAGGGCGAAUGAUGGCUUCCCGUGAGCGUUGUUGCCUCGCGGUUGGUUGAAAAUCGAGUCCUUGGUAGGGUGUGCCAUGGUAGAUGGUGGUCGAGUUAGAACGAUACCGAUCAUGUGCAUGCUCCCCAAAAUAUGGCCUCUAUGACCCACACGCGUCUUUUGACGCUCAUGACGAGACCUCAGGUCAGGCGGGGCUACCCGCUGAAUUUAAGCAUAUCAAUAAGCGGAGGA
RNAcentral lists this unclassified non-coding RNA (395 nucleotides) under soil metagenome. RNAcentral describes it as "partial contains 5.8S ribosomal RNA, internal transcribed spacer 2, and large subunit ribosomal RNA". The stretch from base 1 to 122 matches the Rfam family "5.8S ribosomal RNA", at positions 35 to 154 of the family's 154-position model. The record is from RNAcentral.